Molecule: long non-coding RNA, 806 nt
Filed under: Olea europaea subsp. europaea
Lineage: Eukaryota; Viridiplantae; Streptophyta; Magnoliopsida; Lamiales; Oleaceae
Source: RNAcentral
GUUAAUUUAAGGGAAAGGGAUGUCAUGGAUUGGACCAUUCGGUUCUACCCUCUUCUUGCUGCUUUCUUUCUUCUUAUACUUCUUCUUCUCUGCUGUUGUCUUCUUCUUGCUGCGUUCUGCUUUUUCUCCCUAUUAUUUCUCCUUCUUCUGUUCUUCUUCUGCUCAUUCGAUUGGAAAUUAACUGGUUCUGGUUGAAGUUGGGUUCCAACCAUAACACAAAUUUGUCGCAAGCAGUCCUUCUGCGACAACCACAGCCUUGACCCACUUCUUCCCCAAUUAUUGCUUUCUGUUUUACAUUUUUUUCCCUUUCCCCUUUGUAGAAAUGGGUUUCUGAUUGUGUUUAAUUUUAGGAUUUUUUUGGUGCAAGGGGUUGAAGAAUAGAAGUGUGAACCAAUUGCUACUGUCAUCGGCCAUGAGAAGCUUAACGUCGCCGACUAAUGCGACGACGUUGGCAUUCUCAGUAUCGCCUGGGCCUUUGGUGGCAUGAUCUUCAUCCUCGUUUACUGUAUCUCCAGCAUCUCAGGUACUCAAUUCCCUACCUCAAAUUCGUCUCUAAAAGCAUCACCUUUUCCUUGAAAUUUCCCUGAAUUUCUCUCUCUAUUUGUGCUGCAGGUGGUCACAUAAACUCGGCUGAUUUUUUGUUCAGUUUUUCGGCAUCCUCUCAAAGAUUUUAUAGAUUAAGAGAGCGUUACUUUAUGCUGGUAUCAGUGAUGCUGUUUGGGAAACAAGAAAAAGUAUAGAAGGUGGAGUCUUUAUCUGAAUUCAGUAUCACGAGUAUUAUAAUGUUUAUAUUAGUUAAAAGGAGA